CCGGAGCGCGGGGACGGACCGGCCGGGGCGGGAGGCAGGAGCCGCGCUGCUCCCGCUGCUGCCUCGCAGGCUGCUCCCUCGGCUCGGAGGCUCGUGUCACUGCCAGUUGUUUCAUCCAGAAGCUCAAGUCCUGUGCCUGUGAAGUGCAUGCUUCAUAUGAAGACACUCAAAAUGAUGAUGCUGGAAAGGAUUAACAGUUUAGAAAAUACCAAGACAAGAGGUUAAAAUGUCUACGAAGAUAUUUUGGGGUAGGGAGUUGUUUCAAGAUGUCCAGUUUUAUUUAGAGCUUGUAAAUAUCAUGGCAUAUCCCACACCAUGUCCUCCCUCCUCUCCUCCUUUGGGCACUUCACAUAUUCUUACCCAAAUACGCAGUAGUAACUUCUUGCAACAAAGUUGACUAAGAAGCAAAUCACUGUAUAAAUCUUUCAAAACAUGUUUAAAUAUAGCUUAGUAAACCAGGAAUGUUGGGCAGAAACUGCUGAAAGCACUCAUACUGGUAAAGCUGAAAUGCGACAUGAUCUCAACAUAUUUGAACAUUCAAUUAUAUGUUCAAUUAUAUGAAACGUUUUUCCAGGGUAAUAUCAGAUUUAAGACUGAAGUGUAGCAAAUGUGAUUGGACUGUUUUGGAAUCUUCCUAAGACAAAUGACUUAAAGAUCAAGGUGUUUUAUUUCCUAUUUGGAUCAAUGAUCAAUAAGUCUUAUAUAUGAGAAUCACACAUUUUGAAUAGAAAACACACUUUUUUAAUAAGUGCAAGUUAGACUGAAUAAAAUUACUAUGUUUGGAGAGCAAAGCUCACUAUUUUUUAAGUCAUUGCAAUCUAUAUAAUUAUGAAGUAACUUGAAUAAGGCAUCUUACAUUGGUCCUAAAUUUUUUACUCAAGUAAAACACACAUUGAUUCCAACGUGAGUGUUGCCUGAGUAAUAGAGUUCCCUGUCAAACUGUUAAAAUCAGCUAACUUUCAAAAGCCUGCAGAUUGAUGGAAUAACGUGAUUAUACUAAAGGUAUGUAUUUAAUAUGGAAAAAAAAAUAUUCAAGUAACCAGGCAAAGCCUCUUCACAUUUCCCACUUACAAUAAACCAAGGCAGUAAUAAGUAAAUAUUUUUAGGGGGUUUAUAACUCUGUGACUGCUCAUAAAGACAUUUCAGCUUGUGAUUUUAUUUAUGUAAGUCAUGCCAGUGAAUCAGUACUCUCAUGUCACAAGUAUCUGAGGUUUAGCAUCUAGGACAAUAGACAUAGGAAUAAACUGGCUUUAAAUAUUCCACUAGCAAAACAAGACUGCUUUUUGCCGUGGAUGGCACUGUAAGAGUUCUUUUGCAAUGUCGUGUUUAAAAGUUUGUGAGUGAUGAUAUACAUUCUCUUUGUUUUGAGUGAAUAAGCCCUUUGUCAAAAUAACGUAGCAGAGUUAGAUUUUAAAAAGGUUCUCACAGAAAGACAGAAUUCCUUCACAAAAACCCAUCAGACAAACGAAAAAUACCGACAUACACCUUUUUCUUUUUUUUUUAAUGAAGUAUUAAAGCUUGAUUCUAAUAACAAUAUUAAGUAAAUAAAUGUUAGCUCUACUCAGUGCUAUUAGCAUAGUUGAAAUAGUAGUUUAUAAAUUUUUGAGAGCAUCAGCAUCAUGAUAUGGUUGUCAUAGAAACUGCAACAAUAUGUCAUUUCAAUUAAUUUUACAUGCAGUGAUGCUGAGGUCCAUGUAACAAUUCUUUUAGGAAGUUCUAGAAGUAAAUAUUGAAUAGAAGGAAUAAAAACAUUAAUAGGUAAUGGUACCCCUAAAUUAUUAUUUAAUUAACAAAAUGGGAAGAAAUCUAAAUUAUUCUAAAAUAAUGACUGUGCUGGAGGAAUUAGUUAAGCAGACUUUGACUUCACAACACCAAAAUUAAAUGACAAAAGCUACGGAAACAUUCAAACUCUAAGUGAAAAAAGUAUCUUUUUCCAAAUAAAGCAGGGAAAAAAAAAAACAUAAAAAAAGAGAUUUAUUCCUGUUCACAAAAUAUAAAACAUGCAAUAGUUUUAAAUCGUCAAUGUUCCUUUUGUGCGAGCAAGAAGCAAAAAGUCAAAUGUUACAAAUCCAGGACCAUAAUACAAGAUUUUUAAAAAGCUUUAAAGGUAGGAAAUGUAACAUGAAUAGAUUUAUUUUUCCUGUAUAAUGCAGCUACUGUGUGUUAUGAAUGCUACCUUAAGUAAAUCAUUGCCAGACACACUCAACUGACAUUAAUGACUUGAUUAUUAGAACAGAAAAGCUAACCAAAAUAAAGGCAGUGUUUCUAAAAAAAUAAUAAUUGUAUUGUAGCAGUGUGAGUUUUUAUUUAUUAUUUUUAAUGUUAUGUAUGAACACAUACUUCUGUUUUCUUAUUGCAUAUAUAUGAUACAAUACCUGACCUGAUAGUUUAUAUAUGAAAGAAAAUACCGAGCACAUCGUAAUGAGAAAAAAAUUUAGAUUUUCAACACAUUAUAUACAGGAAUCAAUACUUCCACAGUAUAUUUUAUUUAAAUUUACUGAGUUGCCACACAGACUAGAACCUGCAAGACCUUUCAAACUGAGAUGUGAAACAAGCUGUUUGUAAGUAAAUGAAAACUAUCGAUAUUACAAAAAAGAAAAUAAAUUAAAAGGAAAAAGAAGAAAGCCCCCAGCCUAAGGAAGCUAUCUGCAGUGAGAAAGGAGAAGCAUCUAGAGCUCUCCUUUCUGAUAGGAUUAAGGAAUGCUACAAAAGAAGCAUUUAAAUCUCUAGUUUUCCCUGACAAUUAACAAUGAAAAGCAGAUGUUUACAAAGCUAUUUUACAUGCUCGUUUAUAAGAUGCUAAAAGAUGGUUUGUGGAUGGUAAGAAGGAAGAGCUGGAUAACUGCUUGUCUGGUGUAUAUUUAAAAGCAUUUUCAUUGGCUCAGUUAUUGUUAAUAAUGAAAGAAACACUUUGUGCUGUAUAGCUGUGACUAUAGAAAACUGCCAUCGUAAAGUCCUCAACAAACUCUUAAGAUGCAAUUUACAAAGAUAAUAAUAUCACAGAAUUAUUUCACUUCUCUGAAUGCUACACAUUUGCAUACCAGGACUGUGUACAAUAUACUCAUAAUGCACAUUCAUAACAACAAGGACUUCUUAACAUUGCAACAGCACAAGAUCUGUGCAUUAAAAAUCUACAGUUCCAAGUUUUCCUUUUUGGUGGGAAACCAUUUGUAUAAACCAGAUGCUCUGCAUCUACUCAGAGAAAGCUCACGUUCAGCUCUACACCUUUAUUGAAUGAGAUCAUAUUGGGAAAAUGACAAAACACUGAAAGGUAGCAGCAAUAUUAAUAAAUUCCCCCUCACAGAGAAACAUGGCCAAUUAAGUUUUCACACAAAUUUGAGCAGAAGUCUGGUCUAUAACUGUGAGUCAGGAGAUGUGGGUUCUAUUCCUGGCUGUGCUACAAACCUACAGAGUGUUUCUGAACAAGUCACUUACACCAAGUCACUUGAGUAGAAAAAUGCUAAGAAUGCCUGUCUCAAUUUAGACAGAUCCAUAUCUGCCUCUAUCUGCUUCAAUGCCUGCAAAUGUGGAAGUAAGUCCCUAAAAACCUGGGGCCUACCCUUUUUGGACUUUGCAUCUUAUCCUAUUUCUAUACCUGGAGGGAGCCUGUAGGGGACUUAAUUCAUGAAAGACUCCUCACAUACUGAUUAUAUUUAUGCAAAACUAGAUCCCCAUUAAAAGGCCCAGCCCUGCUUGUUUCACGCUCACAUUUCACUUCACACAUUUGUAGGAGUCCCAUUUACUCUAAUAGACUUAUUCACUC
Non-coding RNA from Lonchura striata (white-rumped munia), 3763 nucleotides. The record is from RefSeq and is a predicted model, not a curated record. Lineage: Eukaryota; Metazoa; Chordata; Aves; Passeriformes; Estrildidae.